This is a non-coding RNA of Pelobates cultripes (western spadefoot toad), 13559 nucleotides long. NCBI's taxonomy places the organism in Eukaryota, Metazoa, Chordata, Amphibia, Anura, Pelobatidae. The record is from the annotation of a GenBank genome assembly.
UUUUUCUUGUAUGUCUUUAGGUUUAAACUGUCUGGAUAAGCCAUAGGGAAAGGGGGGACGGAGGAGGAGCUCGGCUUAAUACUGCACAAGGGACACAGGUAUGAAUAUAAUCCCUCAGGACAUCAUUGAUGACAUCCUUAAAGACAGUUAGAGACAGUUAGGUCUGUGAUUGAGUAUGUCUGUGAUUAUGUGUUUAUAUGUGAUUGUGUGCAUAGGUCUGUGAUUAUGUGUGUAUAGGUCUGUGACUGUGUGUGCGUGCGUGUGUGUGUAAAUCUGUGAUGGUAUGUAUAGGUCUGUGAUUGUGUGUGUGUAUUUGUGAUUGUGUUUAUGGGUCUGUGAUUUUGUGUGUGUGUAUGUAUGUGAUUGUGUGUAUAGGUCUGUGAUUGUAUGUGUGUGGGUCUGUGAUUGUGUGUGUAUAUGUGAUUGUGUGUGGGUAUGUGUAUACAUCUGUGAUUAUGUGUGUAUGUAUGUGACUGUGUAUAUAUCUAUGAUUGUGUGUGUAUGUUUGUGAUUGUGAUUGUAUGUGAAUGUGUGGUUCUGUGCUUGUGUGGGUAUAUCUCAUUGUGUGUGUGCAUUUGUGCAUGUAUGUAUGUUACUGUCUGUAUAGGUCUGUGAUUGUAUGAGUCUGUGUAUGUAUGUGAUUUUGUGUAUAGGUAUUUGAUUGUGUGUGUAUUUUUGCACAUCUAUUAUUAUAUGUGUAUGUAUGUGACUGUGUAUAUAGGUCUGUGAUUGUAUGUGGAGCAACACAAAUGGAAAAAAAUACACCAAAUAUAACAGAAACCCCAAAAGUGAAAAAGAAACACUCAGUGUUUCAGAGUAGGAUACUUAAAUAGACAAAUUAACUGUGAUUGUGUGUGCAUGUGGGGGUCUGUGAUUGUGUGUCUGUAUCUAUGUGAUUGUGUGCAUGUGUGUGUUGUGGUGAAAGUGACCUUGCCACUGGUUUUUGGAGAGGUCUGCUUGCCAGCAUGUUACCCUGGGACUAUGGGCCCUGUGAUAACCUAUGUUCAAAAGUACUGUUUCGGCCUCUUGGACUUUUAACUGGAACAGAUUCAAACAUGGUGGCCAUCUUAAAUAGUCCAGCAGUGUUUUGUCAUCAAGUGUAUGGAACUGUUUUGGGCAUGGGACCAUGUGCACAGUGGGGCAAAAAUAAGACUUCCAUGAAAUUCCUGAACCCCUGAACCGAUCUGGGUGAUUUUUGCAUAUGUUGUUCACCCAGAUCGGGGCUCUCAUGGGAUGUGUAUUUGGGGUACUUUUUGGGGUUUGUAAAAAUGCAUGUUUUUUUCUGCUUAGAGUUAAUUGAGUUAGUCCAUUGUCUUUGUUAAUUGUAUCACAGGCAGAGGGGAGGGUUUGUGUACAUUAACUGGGAGUGUUCAAGUGUAAAACUCUAUGUAACGGACCGUUUUGCACAAAAGGGGUAAAAACCGCUUAGACGAUAAUCCCCUUUCAGAGACAGGCACAGCUACUGUAGAAUCACCAAAACUCACGAAUUGAAUACAAGUGAAUGCACCAAACACCCGAACUGCAUACAAGGGAAUGCUCCAAACACCCGAACUGCAUACAAGGGAAUGCUCCAAACACUCGAACUGGAACCUCACGAAUAGCUGCUAGCAGACGAACAGGAAAAGCACCCAAGCGGCUUACACUCCUGGCAAUCAGUCUCUAUCAGCAUACAGUAAAUCCCCCCAAAGACGAGACAAGGCUCCGUGUUGAGGGUCAAGCAGUGGUCUGUUUAAUGAGGGCUACCUGCCCAGUAUUUAUGCAGGUCUCCCACCUGGUGGACACUCCCCUAGGGGACCAGAUGGAAGACUGUAACAAAAGACAGACAUGUACCAAUUACAGACAUACAGAAGUAAAACAUCCCCACAAUGCAUCCUGGCUUCCUCCCCUCUGCCCUGGAGAAGUAAUUCAAUUAUCUCCCAGGACAAAGGCAAAACUCCAUUACACACGUGGGGACACAAAGACAGACUAUCACUUUAAAAUACAUAAUGGGACAAAUGGUACAGUAAAUAUAUACAUGUAACAUAUCCCCAGAUAGCUCAGGUCUGAGUGCACAUUAUUAGGUGAAUGGCACUCAGACCACACGAAUACAGUUUAAAGAGCCAAAGUCUUUAAUUCCACGAACAGGCUCCAUGGCAUGGCUAUCUGGGUUAAAACAUUCCUCCAACAUAAAAUACCGAAUUUACAUGCAUUCGUUAAAUCCGUACGAAUUAGAACCAGGGGUUGGAGGUUCAGCGGUGCCUGCACGUAAAAGUGUCCGGGUUUGGUGCAGGAAAGCCGGGCAGAAAAGCGCUGGCUGCCCGGGGAGCUCCAGAACACCGCCAUCGUGUGGCGGCUAAGUGUAACCGCGACCACCCAGUAACAAUCAAUUAAGCUGCGAUUAACCGCAGCUACUGGGUGGUCAAUUGCCGGCACACGCUCGUUAAGCCGCGGUUAACCGCGGCUUCAGGGAGGUAAAUGGAGGGCGCACUCCAGCUUCUGGGUGGCCAAUUAACGGCGCCGGCCGGCUUCCCACGGCUAUGGGGAGGCUGAAAAUAAACUGUUUGUUCGGUAGAUGGAAUCUACCGAACGGCUGUGCAGAAAGGGAGAAAUAAAUCCUUCUGCACAGUAAAAUUAACCCUUUAGCUGCCGGUCCAUAAUCCAAAGGCAGCAGGUGGGCAACCAGGCUCCUCCAAUGCAAUGUGGCGAGAUUUCAUGUCCUGUGCCCCACAAUGUCCCCCUUGGUGGUAACCUUGUGAGGAAAAACUGUAUAAAAGAGCAGCUGUGCCAUUAAACCUUCAGUUCUACUUCACUCUCAGUCUAGAGUCCUGCGCUGGUGGCUACUCCACAUGUCGGCCUGGAAUGGCAAGGCAAUUUUUGGACAGACUCUGGAUUUCAUGCUAGAGUCGUGCGCGACCAGCUCCACGGGGAGACCGUGGUUGAAGAUGGAAUCAGAGUUCCACAUGGAACUGAUUGCGGGAUCAUUUGCGAGUCGGAGCCUGGCGAGUCACCUUUCUGAUUGCUGCGUCCUCCUCAGGAUGGGCAAUAUCUCUGCGGUACAAUACAUCAACCGCCUGGGAGGAGCCUGCUCCAGGAUACUUUCGGAGGUGACGAAGGAGAUUUACAGUUUCUGCUUCCAGUGCAACAUCACCCUCCAGGCAGAAUAUCUUCCGGGGUAGUCGAACCUGAUGGUAGAUUGGUUCUCCAGACAUUGGAGAGAUGCCAGCGUUUGGAGGCUUUUUUGUCCCGUUUUCCUCGAGAUCGCAGACCGGAGGGGUCCAUUCUCUGUGAACCUUUUCGACACUGGGACAAACUAUCAGGUCCCAAGCUACUUCAGCUGGCUUCCGGAUCUGGCUUGCACAGCGGUGGACGCUUUCCUUCAGCUGUGGCUGUACCAGGGAGCUUAUGCAUUUUCUCUGUUUGCUAUGAUACUACAAGGUCGACGUCAACGUGUGUCUUUGGUAUUGCUGACUCCUCUGUGGCAGAGUCAAGCCUGGUUUCUGGAAUUUCUGGAUCUAUCCCAUCAGGAUCCACUGCUUCUACCAUCCCCACUGAUGCUACUCUCGGACUCCGAAGGCAAUCCUCACCCGCUCAUGAGGGACUGUAUAAAGUAAUCCAGGCACUCCAAAGUAUCCCAAAAGGCAACUUUUAUUGUACCCACAAACAAAAAAACAACUUUUCGACUCUGUCUUUGUCAAGCUACUAAACACAUACACAGCAAGCAAUAUAUAGGUGUACAAAUAAUUAACAAGUAACAAAACAUGUGAUGUAACAAGAUUAAUUAACCACACAAUCAAUCAAUACUCAUUAACCAUUAUACCAAUUAUUAUCCACAACACAUCAGUGGUGUCAACUAUCAUAGGGCAUCUAGCCGAUUAGUAAUUAUUAUUAAUAUGAUAUUUAUAGAGCACCGUCAAAUUCCACAGCGCUUUACAAUGGGUGGACGAACAGACAUGUAGUUGUAACCAGACAAGUUGGACACACAGGAACAGAGGGGUUGAGGGCCCUGCUCAAUGAGCUUACAUGCUAGAGGGAGUGGGGUGACACAAAAUGACACAAAAAGGUAAGGAUAGUAUUAGACUAAUGACAGUUGCAGAAGAGGAAUCAGCCAGGAGCUAUUAACAGUUUAAUUGAUACGCUUUUAUGAAGAAGUGGGUUUUUAACAAUUUUUUGAAGGAGUGGAGACAGGGUGAGCAUCUAACGGAGGAGGGAAGCGAGUUCCACAGGAACGGUGCAGCCCUCGAGAAAUCUUGAAGGCGAGCAUCAGAGGUGGGAGUACGGACAGAAGAUAGACGUAAGUCUUCAGCAGAUCAUAAGGGCCUAGAUGGGACAUACUUGUGUAUAAGGGAGGAUAGAUAGGUGGGAGCAGCAUUAUGUAGAGAUUUGAAAGUAAGAACCAGAAUUUUAAAUUGAGCUCUAUAUUUUAUAGGAAGCCAAUGUAGGGAUUGACAGAAGGGUGAGGCAUGGGAGGUGCGGGCGGACAGGAAGAUGAGCCUCGCCGCCGCAUUCAUUAUGGACUGUAACGGUGCUAGUUGGGAGCACGUAAGACCACUGAGAAGUGGAUUACAGUUGUCAAGGCGAGAAAGGACAGUGGAAUGGACCAACACCUUAGUCGCAUCUGGCGUUAAGUAGGGGCGGAUGCGCGCAAUGUUUUUGAGAUUGAAAUUACAGGAUUUGGCAAUAGAUUGAAUAUGAGACUUGAAGGAGAGGUCGGAGUCAAAGAGAACACUUAGGCAGCAAGCCUGCGUGGUGGAGCUCAUGGUAGCACCGUUGACUUGGAGGGAGACAGACACAGGAGUAACAACACUUGAGGGAGGAAAGACCAGAAUUUCAGUUUUGGUCAAGUUUAGUUUAAGGAAGUGGGCAGCCAUCCAGUUAGAAACAGCAGAGAGACAGUCAGAGACUCUAGUCAAGAGGGAGGGGAGAGAUCAGGAGUGGACAGAUAGAUGUACGUGUCAUCCACAUAGAAUUGAUAUUGGAAGCCAAAGGAGCUAAUGAGUUUACCAAGGGAAGCAGUAUAGAUGGAGAACAGUAGGGGACCAAGGACUGAACCUUGGGGGACACCAACAGAGAGGAGUUGGGGAGAAGAAGCAGAGCCAGAGAAAGACACACUGAAAGAGCGCUGGGAGAGGUAGGAGGAGCACCAGGAGAGAGCAGUAUCUUGUAGACCGAUAUUGAGGAGGAUGAGAAGAAGUUGUUGAUGAUCAACAGUGUCAAAAGCCGCAGACAGGUCAAAGAGAAUUAGGAUAGAGUAGUGACCACGAGAUUUUGCACUGAGUAGAUCAUUGGAUACUUUGGUCAGUGCCGUUUCCACAGAGUGCUUAGUGCGGAAACCAGACUGAAGCGGGUCUAGCAGAGAGUUGGACUCGAGGAAGUCUGUCAAUCUCGCAUACACAAUUUUUUCAAGGAUCUUGGAUGCAAAAGGCAGUAGCGAGAUAGGACGAUAGUUGGAUGGGGAGUUAGGGUCAAGAUUGGGCUUCUUUAGAAUUGGGGUUACAGUUGCAUGUUUGAAGGGCAAUGGAAAUAUACCAGAGGAGAGAGAGAGAUUGAGAAUUUUAGUGAGAGGUGGAGAAAGAGAAGAAUACAGAGUAGGGAUGAGAUGCGAGGGAAAUGGAUCUAGGGAGCAGGUGGUGGGGCGAAAGGACUGGAGCAGAUUCAAUUCAAUUAUCUAGAGAUUAAGAGACCUUAAUUGCCAGGGAUAUUGUUUAAUUAAGCAAAUUUAGUAAAUACAUAAAUUCUGAGGAUGCCGGAAAAAAUCCAAUUACUUAAGUUUCCCGAUAGCUCACAUGAUCGUAACCAUAUGAGCACGCCUAAUGUGUAGGAACAGAUUUCCGGAUUAAUCAUAUGAUCAUGCUUGUCCGGAUCGUAGCCAACCACGUCAACUUCCAUCCGGCCAAUCGGCAUCACACAAUAAUCCAUUAAUUGUGUUGCCAAGUAUCUCGUAAAAAAGUAGGAGAUACUUUUAGCCACAAUAUCAUCCAAGCCUCCAUCACCAAUAGUAUCAAAUGCGCAAGCACAGUAAUACAUUUCGAAAACAAAUAAAUGGAUACAAAGAAUCAUAUAUAACGAGCCAUAUAUGAAAGUGACAGCCCAGAUGGUGGAUCUUAAUUAGAAAGUGAAUCUCAACAAUGCCAUUACCAAUAUUUCUGUGAAUAUACAUUUCAAGGAGUUUGAGAGAAGAGUUUUUCGAAUGGAAAAUAUAAAAUACAGGUUAAUUUUGAGAAAAAUACAGUUUUAGAAGAUACUGGUAACUUGCAAGGGAUUUAAUUUGAUAUAAUGUAUUAAUAUAAAGUCUGAUAUAACGUCAGACAUUAUGGAUAAAGUUUUGAUGUAGACCAAUGAAGAAAUGUGUCGAAUUAAAUUCAUUAAUUGAUUUAAAGGGGAAUCCUUUAAUUCACCAACACUAUCUCAGAAAUUACACAUUAUCAAAAACCAUCCCAUAAUCCAAGGACUGUGACGGAUAAACAAGCGAAUAUUUAACAUGUGCUUAAUAGAAUAAUAUCCAGCACCACCAUCACAGAUUAUGAAUGUAAUCUGUAAAACAUAAUAAUAAAAAAAUAAUAAUUUAAACAUUUAAAAACAACAAAGACAAAAUUUGACUUAAAUAAACGGACUGAAGUCGUAUUCUUGAUUAAGUCCCCUUGGUGCUAAGGUAACAAGUUCUUUGAUCCAAUACGCUUCUCUAAAUAGUAAUCUUUUUUGUCUAUCCCCACGUCUGAAUCUUUCUUCAACAUGUACAAUGAUUUGUCUCAUGAGGGACGGCCGCCUCCAUUUAGUAGCCUGGACUCUUUCAGGGGAGCCUGGAAUGUCGAGGCAUUAUCAGAGUCGGCUAAGGACCUCCUGGGCCCCUGGAACUACUUGUCAGCUUGGAACUCCUGGUGUCGUUGGUGCCUGGAAUGGGUUAACGAUCACUUUAUGGGCCCUAUAACCAGUGUUCUGAACUUUCUGUCACAUCUGUUUGACCUGGGAUGCUCGUAUUGGUCGGUUAAUGUGGCAAGGUCGGCGUUUUCGGCGGCCCACUUAUCACUUCAAGGUUUUCCCAUUGGUCAGAACCCGCUGAUUUGCAGACUUCUCCGAGGCAUGAGACUUUCGCGGUCUCCAAUGCCUAAGUAUUCUUUCCUCUGGGAUGUACACAGGGUUUUGUCAUUUCUCCAGGAUUGGCCUGAUAAUCAGGAUCUUUCCCUCUGUCAGCUUUCGGCUAAGUUUCUCCUAUGCCUAAUUUCUUUCAGUCGAGUUUCCGACGUCCGAUUCGAUGGCUAUUUUAUACCCAUAUUUCCACGACUCACCUAAGCUCUGUGUGGCGACGACUCUGUCUCACUAUGUGGCGCGUACUUCUCCACUGUGUCCUUCUUGUUCUGGUCAAUUGUUGAUUUCUUAUGUCAGACCUCACAAACCGGUCUCUUCUCCUACCCUGGCACGAUGGAUUAAAUAGUUGUUGUCAUUGGCGGACACCUUCCGCCAAUUUUAUUUUAGACUGGCGGAUCAUGCUUCUUUUGCUUUGCUGUCUGAGCGUUAAAACAGCAACUAUGUAGCCUCCUGUAAUGCUAUAAAAUUGUAGAUUAUACUAGCUUUAGUGUAAAUAUAAUCUUAAUUUUAUUAAUGACAGGAGGUGAAUAUUUCCCCCCCCUAGUUUCACCCUACCCUUGUACUGUUAUCCAUUUAUUUUAUUUGACUACCUCUAGUUGAUAGUAUGUUCUCCAGGACUGUGAUUUAGAUAGUCAGUUGUUUUAUCUUUCUGAAGGAAGUCAGGGUUGGACUUUAUAAAUUUGGUACAGUCGGUAGUAGAUUAUGAAAAACAAAAAUAAAGUGCGCUGUGCCUUUAAGACCAUCAAACAAUACAAGUGAAUAACGUUCACAUAAAUAUUAAUUUCCAAAAUUGUAUAGAGUGCACUGUGCUUAAACACACUACAAAUCAAUUGAUGGGUGAUAUAAAUACCACAUACAUGUGCAAUAACAUAAAUAAUUUGUGCCAAUACAAAAGUGUUAAAGUUUACUGGUGACAAAACACAUAUGUGCAAAAUAAGGAUGAAAUUAUUUAGAAGGUUACCUCACUUUUAAAAGUUUUGAAAUUGCUUCUAUUAGAACUUCAAUGAAAUACUCAAAGAAAAACAGAACAAAAACUCAUAGGGCAAUAUGCAUAAAACAUAAAUAUUGAAAAUAUAGAUAAAAAACACUCACAAGAGUAGAGCAAUUAAGUCUGCUCUGAACUAUGUUGGCAUCUCAGUGUUUAGAGGCUUGAGGCUGUGAUGGCAGUAAAAAUCCUUUGACACUCCAAACAUUAAAAAGCAGUUGUUUGGCUAUAAGUCCUCUUUCUGUAACUCUUCCUCGCAAAUGUGAUAUAGUCCCAAACAAUUUCUUCAGUCCUUUUCAGGCUCCAGAAGCUCUGUGGGCUACUUCCACUCACACUUGUUCCGGGAGGCGGGGCUUACUGCGUUUCGCUGACAUGCUCGGCUUCAUCAGAUCCACCCACUAGUCCAUCACAGUCUCAAUAUAAAGCAUUUACACAGGGCGUGCUUACCCAAAAGAGUCCGAAAAUUCUGUUUUAUGAUUGGUUAUCUUGACCAUCAUAUUAACAUACAUUAUAGAUGCCAAACCCCCUUUAUUUAAAAACAAACUGAAACAAGGGCAUUAUUCACUAAAUGUUUAAAAAUUAUUAUUUAUCUACACGUACAUCUUAUCAUUACACCUCUUUGGACAUUAAUCCAGUUAAAUAAAAUAAUAUAAUAUAAAUUACAAUACAUGAAAACAUUUACUUUUGCUUGUUUGUGUGAUUGGAACAUAAAUAGUAAAGAACAGCUGGUGACCAAUAAGGUAAACCAGCCAAAUGUGUGUCCAGGGCAUCCUGAACUGGGGGGUAACCCUCACAUGUGUAUUUAUAAAAAAGGAAAAGAAAAGUAAGACCAGGGGAAAAAGGAAAAAGGAGGGAGAAAAGACACACACCCUCUUCCUUGACCCACAGGGUCAACCCAAUAGGAAACCCCUACCUAGAAAUAAUGCUGAAAUUUAACCUUUAAUAAGGAAAAAUUUAAAAUGUCAUACAUACAAAAUAUAUACAAAAAAUGAAGAAUAAAAUGGAGAGAGAGGGAACAAAUAGAAAUAGCCCAGGAUAGAGGGUGUACUGUGUCCACUAGAAUCACCUAAUGGUAAUAAUCACCUUGUUGAAACAGCAGUGUAUAGCACCCUUGCCUAGGUUUAUAAGCAAGGGGCUAAGGUAAGAAGUGGGGUAAAGAUAGGGAGAAAUGUAUAUAAUGGACAAAACCCCUAUAGAAAGCCUCCAGUUGCAAACAUAAACCAGACUAUAAAUCUCUGCCACAAUAGAGACAGAGCUCCUUAUCCAGAAUGACACAAAAUGUCAAUAACUGAAAGCACUAUUAAUUGCUAUAAGUUAUUCUCAAAUAGAUACAAGGUGAUAUCGCAUUGUACAAUAUCUACUAGCAAAAGGAGAUAAAAAUAAUUAUGUAUCCCUUUCUUAGGAUGCCCCAGAAUAAACAGAGCUGACUAAUAAACUCUGGAGCUCCUAAUAAAUAAUAUGUCACAGUCUAGCUCUAUCUACAUACGUGAGUAUAUACAAAGUGCGACCACCACCCACCACUUAACAAGCAACCCCCGAAAUGAAACUACUAGCUAAAUAGCUACUGAAAAACAAUUAGCUAAGUGUUCCCUCUCUACAUCUGCCUAACGCGCGUUUCGGCGCUGUUCAUAGCACCUUCCUCAGAGGCAUCAACCGUGGUCCACCAUGGGUCGGUAUAUUUAUACAUAGAACAAACCAAUGAAAUUAGCGGGCGUGUAGAAUCCUGUUCGCGCCAAAAUCGGCAUUCGAACAGGUCCCGCCCACCAAUAUGCGUGUCACUGAAAGAUGGAUAAAUCAUAUAGAAAGAGUUAACCCUUUAUGUAUAGUGUUCUAAAUUACUGAUACAAAAAAAUCCAAACUGUUUCUUUUCUUUCCCAAUAUAGUACAAUAUAAAUUAAUUACUCAGUACCCAGUAUCAAAAACAAAAUAGGGGAACUAAAAAAAGGGAAAGAUACGUUUUUGUAAUAGAUUAUACAACACAUAUUUAUUAAUGUCCACCAAUAUAAAGCAAAUUAUUUGCAAGCAUUCAAUCAAUGAUGAUUAUGCCCCCACUGACGGCAGGUAUGGCAGUGGAUAUUUGCCCUGCCAUUGUAGCGAGAAGGUGGUGGGGGUUCCCUUGUGCUGGCCUGAACGGAGUGGGGUUGACUGGUGCGGAGGUGGUCGGGUGGUGCUGUGCAGGUGGUCUCAGGUGGCUCUUGUUGCUGGACCCAUGAUGUCUCCUGGCAUCGAAGUGUUGGUCUGCCAACCGGGCUGCUUCGGUUAGGGUGAGGGGUUUUCGAUUCCUCACCCAUUCUUGUGCUUCCGGUAGUAGUCCAUUAAAGAACUGCUCGAGUAGUAUUAGUUGGCGCAGUUCCUCCAGGGUGGUGGCUUGGCUUGACUGAAUCCACCCUUGGGAGGCUUGGUCCAACUUGUGCACCCACUCAGCGUGCAAAUCUUUUUGGGGUUUUCGCAAUCCCCGAAACUUGCGCCGAUAUGCCUCAGGCGUGAUGGCAUACCUCUCUAGGAUAGCCCUUUUAACUUUAAAAUAGUCUUUGCUGUCCUCUCUGGGGACAGCGCGAUAAGCCUCUGCUGCCCGCCCUGCCAACUUUUCUGCGAGCAGGGGCACCCAUACUGCCUGCUCCAGGUCGUGCAGGUCACAUAGCCGCUCGAAAUCCUGCAGAUAUCCGUCAAUUUCAUCCUUCUCCUCGCAGAAUGCUUUAAAUGCAUGGUACGGUAUCUUUGGCUUUACCGGACCGCAGAAGGAAGUAGUGAUGGAUUCUGCCCUGGACGGUGCUCCCUGGUGAUGUUGUGCCAUCAUGUAUUCCUGUACGUCCGCCAUCAGGACCGUCAGUAUCCAGGGGUACUGGCUGUGGUAAAAAUUCCAGCCGGGUUCUCAGUUCCUUUUGGUACGGAGUUUCCUCCCUGGUUGGUGGAGGUGUGCUGCUGUGCGCUCGGUUGCCCUCCGUCAGUUCAGCAAUCAGCACGGCAUUAGAUUUAUUGCUAGCGCUCUUUCCUGUCGCUUCCAGCAGUUCCUUAAGUGUCUGCCUUUUCAAUGUGGUGUAGUCAGUCUCCAUUCACUGAUCUCUUUCGUCAGUUUGCUGCAUGCGAAUUGCCAUUCCCUUAGUUUGGCUGUUUCUUUUCAUUUGAAUGUGCUUUUCGGCUGUAGAGUUGGAUCCCGUCGCUUGACACCAAUUGUAGCGGAGCGGCAAUAUUAAAUCCCACGAUCUCUGCUGGUUCAGAAGGUAAUCCACAGUCAAGCGCUGAAAAGCAAGGCAAUAUCCCAAAUCUCCCAGUAACCGGACGAAACACAGUUCUGAGAGUCAACUGAAGGCUUUAUUCACAGGCUCCACAAUUUAUACAAUUCCCCAUGCAAGGGGUUUCCUGAAUCCUAUCCCAGGGGUAUUCCCAGAAUGGACUACGUGGGGAACUUACAUUACAGAGCCUUUCCCCCCAUCAGGUACUGCUGCACGAGAAGGAUCCUCCCACUGGAAUGUGCCGUUAAGCUGAUUAUCCCUCCGUGCAGCAGAACCGGCAAUUUACUUUAAAAUACACCGUUUUUCGAAUGUUAGGUCUAUUUCCAUGAAUGGACGUUCGGUAGAUAGCUGGGGCCUGAGCGUAUCAUUCGUGAGAUUACCGCUCAGAUCCCAGCUAAAUCAACCGAACGCCUCACGAAAAACAUAUUCAUUAAAACACACACUUAAAAGACCGAUUGAUGUAUAGGGAAUAAAAUACCGAACGGCCCGGAACUCCCGAACGGCCUGGAAGUCCAGCGGUGUUCGAGCCGUCGAGUAGCUGUUUUUAGUACCACGCGCUCGACGACCAAACACCACUGGGGAACAAAGGAUCCUAGAUGGCCGACCACCGCAUGGUUGGUAGCCAAACGACGGCCACCUUGGAGAGCCUCUAACAAUGUUGCAAUCGGUUAACAAGCGCCACACAUCUCUCAAUGUGUGGGCUGUUACAGGGUGGUUAUUUCGGUUCACGAACGGCCCGCAAAAGGUGCCGUUCGUGAAACGAAAGGGAAUCAGCUAUCUGCUUUCGGCAGAUAGCCAAUGCAGGCAAUACAAAGCUACACAAUCGUAUUACAUUAUAUCCAGAAACACACAUAACACGAAAAUCAUACAGACAACCCUUAAAGCGAUAGUACUUAAUGUCCAAGUAGCUAGAUUUGCCACAUCUCCCAAGCGGUUAAUAAUCCCAUCCAGCAGUCUCUAGUCGUCGGUAAUAAAUCCCCCCAAUAAUGAGACCAAGCUCCGCAUUGAAGGUAAAACAAGAACUGGCUUUACUGUGGGCUACCUGCCCGUAUUUAUGCAGGUCUCCCACUUGGUGGACACUCCCCUAGGGGACCAAAUGGGAGACUGUAACAAUAGACAGACAUAUGGCAGGUUAGGACCCACAGACACAGAAUAUUCCCAGCAUGCAUUAGUAUUUCCUCCCCUCUGCCCUGGAGAUAAUUGAGAAGUAAUUUAAUUAUCUCCAGGACAGAGGCAAAUCAUCAUUUUAAAUUGAACAUAGCAAAACAUAUAAAAAUACCUAACUUUACAAUUGUCGAAUUUUACCCAUUCGUAUCACAUAUCCCCAGAUAGCCUGGAUCUGAGUGCAUAUUAUUGGCGAAUAGCGCUCAGAUCCCAUAUGCAUAGUUCAAUCGCCAUGGAGUCAAAGUCUAUUACAGUCUUUCGGUAUGCGCCUGACUCCAUGGGAAGACUAUCUGGGGUAAGUCCAUUCGUGCAUUUAAACCUCCCGAACGGCCGGUGUUCGCAUACUACUGUCGAUUGAGAAGGGAGGUCGGCGGCUUCAGCGGUGUUCGGCAGAAAAAGUGUCCAUUUUCAGUUCCAUUAAAUCAAUGCCGAACACCGCUGGUCUUUCGCAUGGUUUAAGAUGGCCGCCGCCUUGUGGUCGACAUACAAACGACGACCACCCUGUAUUCGGUUUUAAUUGAGAAGUGUCUGUGGUUAACCGCAACGUUCUAAUUGGGAUCAAGAGGUUAACCAGCAGCACACUUCUCUUCUGGGUGGCCGUCCGUUCGGUAGUUUUGUUCGGCGGAAAAGUCAAUUCACGGAACAGGGGCAUACGAACGGGUAAUUUCACGAAAAGGCAAAACAGACAAAUCCAGCAAUCUCAGUCUAUACAGAUGGAUCUGUCACAGUGCCAUUUUUACUUGUUUUGUGUUAUCUUUUGAAUUGUUUAGGUAGUUGAUUAUGGAUUUUCAUAUUUUCACAGUACAUUUUAUUCAUUAACCGGAGUUUUCAACUCUGUUUGUCUCGUUUCAGUUUAAUGGUUCGUCUAAAGAUCCACAUUCAAGACCUUCUUCUGGAUAAAGUUUAAUGGCUUAUCGACUGAUCCAUGUUUGGUUUCUGGUCCAGGAUGAAUGUUAUCAACUGUUUCGUUUGCAUCCUUCUGCUACUACUAUGUGGAUAUGUUUAUUUCUGUUCUUUUUUGUCACAGCUUGAGGAAGUAGUUUAUUGGGAGGGGACUUUUAUGAUUCCUUACUUUUUUCUGAUUGGUUGUUUCUCUAUGUUAAUGUGCUGCUGUG